GGCAUUCUGGCCGAGUGGUCUAAGGCGCCAGGUUCAGGUGUAUCCUGGUCUCUCCGGAGGCGAGAGUUCGAAUCUCUCGGAUGUCA
Molecule: transfer RNA, 86 nt
Filed under: Yarrowia sp. B02
Lineage: Eukaryota; Fungi; Ascomycota; Dipodascomycetes; Dipodascales
Also listed under: 2 other names
Description: tRNA-Leu
Rfam family: tRNA
About the family: Transfer RNA (tRNA) molecules are approximately 80 nucleotides in length. Their secondary structure includes four short double-helical elements and three loops (D, anti-codon, and T loops).
Source: RNAcentral